This 83-nucleotide small nucleolar RNA is filed under the name Neogobius melanostomus (round goby). RNAcentral's name for it is "Small nucleolar RNA SNORD11B (ENSNMLG00000019829.1)". It matches the Rfam family "Small nucleolar RNA SNORD11B". The record is from Rfam by way of RNAcentral. Lineage: Eukaryota; Metazoa; Chordata; Actinopteri; Gobiiformes; Gobiidae.
ACCAAGCGGUGAUGAUGGCGACAUUUUGUCACUUUCCUGAUGGAGACUGAUGGUUUUAAGUCACUACCUCAUCUGAGCUUGCA